This 207-nucleotide ribosomal RNA is filed under the name uncultured Methylobacterium sp. RNAcentral describes it as "partial 16S ribosomal RNA". It matches the Rfam family "Bacterial small subunit ribosomal RNA", at positions 568 to 774 of the family's 1533-position model. Lineage: Bacteria; Pseudomonadati; Pseudomonadota; Alphaproteobacteria; Hyphomicrobiales; Methylobacteriaceae. The record is from RNAcentral.
CGCGUAGGCGGCCAUUCAAGUAGGGGGUGAAAGCCUGUGGCUCAACCACAGAAUUGCCUUCGAUACUGUUUGGCUUGAGUUUGGUAGAGGUUGGUGGAACUGCGAGUGUAGAGGUGAAAUUCGUAGAUAUUCGCAAGAACACCAGUGGCGAAGGCGGCCAACUGGACAAACACUGACGCUGAGGCGCGAAAGCGUGGGGAGCAAACA